GUCUCCGGCCGCGCCACCCUGAACAAGCCUGAUCCCCUCGGAUCUCGGAAGCUCAGCAGGGUCCGGUCUGGUGAGUAUUUGGAUGGGAGGCCACCUAGGAAGACCAGGCGCUGUAGGUG
This 119-nucleotide ribosomal RNA is filed under the name Pteropus alecto (black flying fox). Lineage: Eukaryota; Metazoa; Chordata; Mammalia; Chiroptera; Pteropodidae. The record is from RNAcentral.